GGGUCAUUAGGUUGGUCGUGCCACCGGUACGUACUGGUCUCACUGAUUCCUCCUUCCUGAAGGACCGUAAUGCCAUUAAUUUGGUGUUGCGGGGAAACAGGACUGUUACUUUGAAAAAAUUAGAGUGUUUAAAGCAAGCUAACGCUUGAAUACAUUAGCACGGAAUAAUGAAAUAGGACGAUCGAUCCUAUUUUGUUGGUUUCUAGGAUUGACGUA
This 216-nucleotide ribosomal RNA is filed under the name Glomeromycotina sp. RNAcentral describes it as "partial small subunit ribosomal RNA". The stretch from base 40 to 216 matches the Rfam family "Eukaryotic small subunit ribosomal RNA", at positions 686 to 864 of the family's 1831-position model. Lineage: Eukaryota; Fungi; Glomeromycota. The record is from RNAcentral.